UGAGCUAAUCUAGGGACCUGGGAUAAUUCUAGAGCCUCUUCCCAGUAGAGCUCUCUGGCAGUGCUACGUCUGAUUAUAAACUACUACCACUGUUCUUGUCAAAAUGCUUUUUACAUUUUCUUGUUUUACCGAAAAAGUUCACUCUUUCCUUCAAAAGGCUUCUCCCACCAGGACAGCAGCAUGAGGGCAGGCACAGCAGUUCAGCAGCAUGGCUUGGAUUAAACCCUUGCUGAAUGGUGGAGAGAGAAAGGGAGAAAGACAAGACUAUCUGGUUUGCCACACUGCUGGAUUCACAAAGGCACACACAAGUUACA
RNAcentral lists this long non-coding RNA (314 nucleotides) under Cyanistes caeruleus (blue tit). Its description in RNAcentral is "lncRNA (ENSCCEG00000015064.1)". The record is from RNAcentral. Lineage: Eukaryota; Metazoa; Chordata; Aves; Passeriformes; Paridae.